AAUUAUAAGUGGUAAGAGGAGAAUUAAAUUAAGAGCAGUAAGCAUCAUGGAUUUAUAAAAACAAGUCAUGUCGGACAAACUUAAUUGCUUUUCCUGAUAGAAUUACCAAAUUAGGGGAUGGCAGUGUACAAUAUCCUGAGAGCAGUUUCCUUCAACAACCAGAUUUCCAGCAUAGUAUUGGAGCGAAAGCACAGAGUCAACCUACGGAAUGCAAAUAAGAAAUAAAGACAAAAUGAAUGUGGCAGAGAUCCUUGGGCAAUUGUGUAAUACCUGAAUCUGGGGCCCAAAGAAGGGUGGGCUCUGGUCUAUCUGAUCGAAUGAGACUGGCCAGGCAAGUUACAUGAUUCCCAUUUAUGCUUGGGCUGAAAUAUGCUGAUGCUGAAGCUGAAACUCCAAUUUUUUGGUCACCUGAUGCGAACAGCUGACUCAUUGGAAAAGACCCAGAUGCUAGGAAAGAUUGAAGGCAGAAGAAGAGAGCAACAGAGGAAAAUAGGGAGACAGAGGAUGAGAUGGUUGGAUGGCAUCACCGAUUCAAUGGACAUGAACUUGGGCAAACUCUGGGAGAUGGUGAAGGACAGGGACGCCUGGCGUGCUGUAGUCCAUGGGCUUCCAAAGAGCUGGACAUGACGAGGAGACUCAACAACAACAUACUUGCCAAAAAAAAAAAAAUUUUUUUAUUUAGUGGUUUGGAGAUGGCAGAGGGGGCUUGUAAAAAGUCAGAUCUACAAAUGUAACA
Bos taurus (domestic cattle) is the source of this 736-nucleotide long non-coding RNA. The record is from Ensembl. Lineage: Eukaryota; Metazoa; Chordata; Mammalia; Artiodactyla; Bovidae.